This 350-nucleotide unclassified non-coding RNA is filed under the name plant metagenome. RNAcentral's name for it is "partial contains 5.8S ribosomal RNA, internal transcribed spacer 2, and large subunit ribosomal RNA". The stretch from base 1 to 105 matches the Rfam family "5.8S ribosomal RNA", at positions 50 to 154 of the family's 154-position model. The record is from RNAcentral.
GAAAUGCGAUAAGUAAUGUGAAUUGCAGAAUUCAGUGAAUCAUCGAAUCUUUGAACGCACCUUGCGCUCCUUGGUAUUCCGAGGAGCAUGCCUGUUUGAGUGUCAUGGAAUUCUCAACUCUAUUUGCUUUUGUGAAUAGAGCUUGGAUUUGGAGGUUUAUUGCUGGUACUUGUGAUCGGCUCCUCUUGAAUGCAUUAGCUCGAACCUUUGCGGAUCAGCUAUCGGUGUGAUAAUUGUCUACGCCGUUGCAGUGAAGCAUAUCAAUGGGCUCGGCUUCCAAUCGUCCUUUACUGGACAAUGACUUUGACAUUUGACCUCAAAUCAGGUAGGAUUACCCGCUGAACUUAAGC